UUUUAAUGGUUCGCAUUUCUGCUUCGUAUUCGGGAGGUCUUGGGUUAAAGUCUGGACCCGGAGACCGGCUAUCCUGACUCGGAUUUUUUGUGAUUUUUCUCAGUCCUUCCAUGCAAGUGGCAGGAUAGUACUUUCAAAUUGUGCCUUGACCAUUUCCCUUUCUAACACACUGUUCACUGUCAUCCUCAGGAUGUAGUCUGAUAUACUGAAAAAGCGCCUUCAAAUGGCACUGCAAUGUAGAAUAGAGCCUUUUUGCUACUUUGAGAACAUCAGGUAACUUCAUACUGUUAUAUUUUAUUCGAUAUAAUCUAUUAUAAACUUCACAGUUUGUUCACUUCUCCAUAUGCUCCUAGGGUUGACCAAAUGAAGGUCAUGUAGUAUGAAUACGGAAGGUCAAGUAAUCUGUAGUAAAUUUUAGUUGGGGAAAAUUUAAAGAAUAGAACACCUGAGAGAGAGGCAGUGAUAGAAUGAUAAUAGUAAGGUUAGGUGUCAUUAAAUAUGCUGCAAAGCUGUAAUUAUCUUAUUGAUUUUCUAGGAAUGUGUUUUGAAUAUGUAAAGUUCACCCAUAAGGAUAUUUGUGGAUUUCACAUUUUUUUACCAUGUUUUGGUCUGUGGAUAUGAAAUCACUUCUGAGAGUAUGUUUUGUUAUUGGUUCAGCAAGUACCUUUCCAGUGUGCUUAUGUAAUGCUCCAUAGUAAACCCCCUUAUCACUUCAGUUUGUGAGCAACUAUAAUUUUGUGUUACUUAUUCACUGUUAUUUUAUGGAAGCGGUCUGACUGACCAGACUUCGGUAGUAACAUUAUUGGUGGUGUCCAUGAUACAGAAUUUUUAAAGGAGAAAGGAAAAAGAAAAGGAUCUUCAAAUGACUAGAUGGUGAUAUAGGAAGUGGCACAGACAGUCUCUUCCAUCAUAAUUGGAGUGAUGUGAUAAGUGAGGUAACAGAUAUUUAUGCAUAUUCUUGACUUUUCGAGCACAGCGAAUGUCGACAGGAAUACAGGAUUAAUUGUUUCAUUCCUGAAAUUCAGCUACAAAGACACCUUAUUGAAGUAGGACCAUGAACAAACAGCCAUCACCCAUGGAAGGAAGUGGGGAAUGAUAGAACGCACCCCUCUUUGGCCAGGACUUCAGUGACAGAGCACGUGACUGUCUGCUGUUUUCUGUUGGUCAUGUCUCAGACAAGGACACUGUCUUGAGUCUUCUUCCAGCACAUGACAUUGCCACAUUUCUUGACUCUAAGUAAGAACUUUUGAUGUCAAAAUGGUUGCCAGGUGUAGUUUUAUCCUAAAAGUAUUUGGUUUUAGUGUGUGGACACCAUGUGCUCUUUUCUGAAGCCCCGCAUUUAUGUUUAUAAUGUUGAAUGUGGAAUCUGUUUAUAUAUAUUCUGUGUCUUGUCUUGCAUUUUUAUUUCACAUAAGAAAUAAACCCAUUGGAAUUUGUUGUAAUGUGUCCUUUGCACAACGUGCAUAGUAAGAACAAAUUUUGUUUUUUUAAUGUUCUCCAUUGUUACUAUGGUAAUCGUGGUUCCUACUGAUUUAAGUAGGAAUUAUCAGGAGUGUUUGUGUAUAUGAAGAUUGUUUUUUGUUGUGACAGGUUAGUUAGAACAUAUAUGACACGUUAGAGUAGGCUGUCAGAUCCAUUUGGGUAAGUGAAGUUAUGUUAGGUUAUAUUUCUUUAAUUUCGGUUAAGUAAAUUUUAGGUUGGGAAAGGUUUAUAAAAGUUUAUUUUAAAUGUUGGAAUUUAUAAUGUAUACACUAUAAGAC
Zootermopsis nevadensis is the source of this 1760-nucleotide non-coding RNA. Lineage: Eukaryota; Metazoa; Arthropoda; Insecta; Blattodea; Termopsidae. The record is from RefSeq and is a predicted model, not a curated record.